GCAGCCACCUUGAAUAUAUUCGUGUCUUUGUUGUGACCAUUACACCUUGAAUAUAUUUUUGUUUUUAUUUUAGAUAUUUGAUAAUUCAUGAAAAUACGAGACAACUAUUAUCCAGGGAAAGCAAUCUUUGUGUAGUCGAGAACAGAUUCCAACCAUAGAUAUCUGCACAUGAGAAGGUAGUCAUCAUUGACCAUAAAAAGAAAUAAAGAAUACAGGAAAAGGUAAAACUAGAAGAUCAAUGUAGCAGUAAGCAGUUUUUGAACUUAAAAAGGAAAGCAAGCACUGCACAACUACUGAUGUGGUGUGGCAAUAAGCAGUUUAGCAACAUCAUUUUUAUAACACACAAGUACCAACAAUUUCAAGGGAAAAAUCACAGAAAACAUAAUGUUACAUCACACUAUUAACCACAACUUCAUAGUACCAUACUCAAACAAUCAGGUAUAAAGGCCUAAUUAACUAAAAUAGUUUAUUUUCAGUGUUGAAUUAAGCUUAUGUUUUAGACAAGGCUGAUAUGUUGCAAUUCUUGACUAAAACAAUGCCAACUAUUAAAAAGUAUCAACCAAACCUAACAAACUUACAAAUAAUUUUACAUAAAGGUUAGUACAUAAAAAAUUACAUGUCAAUGUUUAAACACUUUUGUCCUAAUCUACCACAACUGACAAUAUUAAUAUACGACAUCACUAGGUACGGUACAAUUUGACAGUUACAGUUCAAAACAAACAAGAGGUCGGAUCAAGCAUAACUUACAUCUUAAAAUAUUACGCUACUACAGAUUGAUUGAGAUAUAUGUAGUGAAAACCAUCAUAGCUACAAGUAGUAACUCCCCACUAGACUAGCACUACUACAUCUUAAGAGAGUGCAGAGGCUCGCUCCUAUGGUGUGUCUUGAAUGAG
Molecule: long non-coding RNA, 893 nt
Filed under: Sorghum bicolor (sorghum)
Lineage: Eukaryota; Viridiplantae; Streptophyta; Magnoliopsida; Poales; Poaceae
Description: long non-coding RNA (SBIC_LNC013589)
Source: RNAcentral